UGGCACAAACACUGCCCGUGUGCUAAUCCAGCAUCUAAUCCUGAGAGAGAGAUAGGGUGUCUCCCCCACACUCAUCCAGCCCCAGCACCAAACAGGAGCCUUUCUGGCUGUGCUGUCAGGCCAUCUUCCCCCUCCGGGCUUGCUCACACUCCACGAGUUGAAGUUUGGGUUUUACAAAGAUCCCUGUGGGUGCUGGAUGGGCCAGCCCCUAGGCCACCUGUGUCCCAGGGAAUCUGCCGCCACCUGCAAGGAGCAGGCAGAUCUUCCUCCUGGCGUCUCACAGGGGCAUCUCCUCCCUCCCUCAUCAGGGCAGCUGCGGGCACCGGGCUGCGUGACCAGCAGGCUCCUGGCUCCUCCUCUCGCUCCAGCCAGCUUGCUCGGGCACCCAGAUCAACACCUCCGCUGGCCCUUCCUGUGAUGCCACGGCCCCACUGUCCACAGCCGACACCCAGCCCCUUGGCUGGCCCCGCCACCUCACCCGAGAAGGGUCAGCGUCAGGUGCUGGAGGACAAAGAAGCCUCGCGCUAAGCCCCCUCUGGACCCCUAAAUCCUGCCUGUGCGUCUGCGCCAACUCCUGCAUCCUGCUAAUGUUGCUGCCAGCCGCCCCCGGGAGCACUCAGCAGUGGCACUCAAAUGUUAAGUGAGCCCCAGGCCCACCUCCUUCCAAAUGUCACUUUCUGGAGAGGAGCUCCGAGCCUCAGGGCCCAGCCCGCCCCCAGUGACACAGGCUGCUGCAGAACUGCCCCCGCAGCCCCUUCCCCACCCCAAGUUCCACAGGGCACAGGGUCCCCCAGCCCCCAAGUCCAGGCCCAGGGCUGGGCUUGACGCAUGUAUCAAGCGCCCUCUGACUCCACCAUGACUGUGUUUCAGGUCCACACAGCUCAGCCAUAGAUGGGACCCGCAAUCCAUGCAGCUAAGGAAACAGACCGGCUGGAGGUUCUGUCUUCCCUGCUGUGCUGCUCCCUUCAGAGCAUUCUAGAAGGCGGAGCUCUGUCGUCCUGGGGCACUGGCUGACUCCAUGGAGCAGCCCCCAGCCUCACCCCUGCCAGUCUGCAGCAGCUCUGAGUGAAAAGAAACAGAGCUUUUCUUUGUUACAUCACUGAGGCUGGGCCAUCCACAGCCUGUGCUGCGAAAUCAUCCACCAGAGGUAAGAACUGGCUGAAAGGCGACAGGAAGGACCCAAAGUGCUCCCCUUGUGCUCGCCUGCCUUCGAUCUCCACAUCCAGAAAAUGGGUGCAAGAGUAGGUCCAGCUCUACCCUGCUUCUCCCCCUGCAGAGGCUGCAGGAAAUGGAGUGUGAAGGCUGCCCUUGAGGAAACACCUCUCCGAUGGUCCACGUUGGCACCUAAAACUCCACCACUGCCGCCUUCCUGGGAUUAGACAC
This 1383-nucleotide long non-coding RNA is filed under the name Bos indicus x Bos taurus (hybrid cattle). RNAcentral's name for it is "lncRNA (ENSBIXG00005030669.1)". The record is from RNAcentral. Lineage: Eukaryota; Metazoa; Chordata; Mammalia; Artiodactyla; Bovidae.